GUCUCUGUGGCUCAGUCGGUAGAGCGUUGGUCUCAUAGAACUCUCUAUGACUCUGUCUUCAGGCAUGGAUAUCCAAAGGUCGCAAGUUCGAGCCUUGCCAGGGACA
This 106-nucleotide transfer RNA is filed under the name Colletotrichum higginsianum. Its description in RNAcentral is "tRNA CH063_16188". It matches the Rfam family "tRNA". Rfam says of the family: Transfer RNA (tRNA) molecules are approximately 80 nucleotides in length. Their secondary structure includes four short double-helical elements and three loops (D, anti-codon, and T loops). RNAcentral also lists the same sequence under 1 other name. Lineage: Eukaryota; Fungi; Ascomycota; Sordariomycetes; Glomerellales; Glomerellaceae. The record is from Rfam by way of RNAcentral.